Molecule: ribosomal RNA, 376 nt
Filed under: uncultured organism
Description: partial 16S ribosomal RNA
Rfam family: Bacterial small subunit ribosomal RNA
Source: RNAcentral
GUAGGUGGCAAGCGUUGUCCGGGAAUUAUUGGGGCGUAAAGCGCGCGCAGGCGGUUCUUUAAGUCUGAUGUGAAAGCCCACGGGCUCAACCGUGGAGGGUCAUUGGAAACUGGAGAACUUGAGUACAGAAGAGGAAAGCGGAAUUACACGUGUAGCGGUGAAAUGCGUAGAGAUGUGGAGGAACACCAGUGGCGAAGGCGGCUUUCUGGUCUGUAACUGACGCUGAGGCGCGAAAGCGUGGGGAGCAAACAGGAUUAGAUACCCUGGUAGUCCACGCCGUAAACGAUGAGUGCUAAGUGUUAGGGGGUUUCCGCCCCUUAGUGCUGCAGCUAACGCAUUAAGCACUCCGCCUGGGGAGGUACGGCCGCAAAGGCUG